This 670-nucleotide ribosomal RNA is filed under the name uncultured bacterium. RNAcentral's name for it is "bacterial SSU rRNA". It matches the Rfam family "Bacterial small subunit ribosomal RNA", at positions 152 to 808 of the family's 1533-position model. The record is from RNAcentral.
GGAAACAGAUGCUAAUACCGCAUAACAAUUUGAAUCGCAUGAUUCAAAUUUAAAAGAUGGCUUCGGCUAUCACUUUGGGAUGGACCUGCGGCGCAUUAGCUUGUUGGUAGGGUAACGGCCUACCAAGGCUGUGAUGCGUAGCCGAGUUGAGAGACUGAUCGGCCACAAUGGAACUGAGACACGGUCCAUACUCCUACGGGAGGCAGCAGUAGGGAAUCUUCCACAAUGGGCGCAAGCCUGAUGGAGCAACACCGCGUGAGUGAAGAAGGGUUUCGGCUCGUAAAGCUCUGUUGUUAGAGAAGAACGUGCGUGAGAGCAACUGUUCACGCAGUGACGGUAUCUAACCAGAAAGUCACGGCUAACUACGUGCCAGCAGCCGCGGUAAUACGUAGGUGGCAAGCGUUGUCCGGAUUUAUUGGGCGUAAAGCGAGCGCAGGCGGAAAAAUAAGUCUAAUGUGAAAGCCCUCGGCUUAACCGAGGAACUGCAUCGGAAACUGUUUUUCUUGAGUGCAGAAGAGGAGAGUGGAACUCCAUGUGUAGCGGUGGAAUGCGUAGAUAUAUGGAAGAACACCAGUGGCGAAGGCGGCUCUCUGGUCUGCAACUGACGCUGAGGCUCGAAAGCAUGGGUAGCGAACAGGAUUAGAUACCCUGGUAGUCCAUGCCGUAAACG